GUCAUCAAAGAAGAAAGGUGAAUUAAAAUGAAGUUUUAAUUCACUAAGUGAUUGGAUUAAAUAUAAUCAAUUGAAUUGAUGUCAAUCACCUCACUGCCUUGCUAAUUAGAACCUAAAAUGAUUGUACACCGAUACACUCUUGUAGUGAGUAAUUAAUGGAUGAUGGAAAUAAUUAAUUUGAUUAAUUAAGUGUUGUGAUUAAUUUAGAAAGUCUAAAGAAAUCAUAAAAGCGAUACAAGAUCGUUUUGGGCUUAAAGAAACGUUCGGGUUUAAUUGGGCCCAUUGGGCCUAAACCCAUUGGGCUUUUAUUCAAGCAUUGGAUGACUAGAAAUAUAUAUAAAAGCCCAAAGCCCAAACCAACACAAAGGGGCCGGCCCUUGCAAGUGGAGAGGGAGAGAUAUUUAGUCAAGUUGUUGACUAGGUUUCUUUUUGUCUAUAUAAGGAACUUUAUGGAAAUUUAAUCCUAAGGGUUUUUGUGUGUUUUUGAACAACAAAGAGGCAAAAGAAAAUAGCUCUCUAAAACCACAAAGGCCGGCCACCUAGAGGGUGUUUUAGCUAACAAUCUUUCACCCUUUUGGUUAUUCCUC
RNAcentral lists this long non-coding RNA (587 nucleotides) under Malus domestica (apple). RNAcentral's name for it is "long non-coding RNA (MDOM_LNC005980)". Lineage: Eukaryota; Viridiplantae; Streptophyta; Magnoliopsida; Rosales; Rosaceae. The record is from RNAcentral.